This is a long non-coding RNA of Lactuca sativa (garden lettuce), 1307 nucleotides long. RefSeq lists it as uncharacterized. Lineage: Eukaryota; Viridiplantae; Streptophyta; Magnoliopsida; Asterales; Asteraceae. The record is from RefSeq and is a predicted model, not a curated record.
UUUAUCUCUAAAUUAUUCUAACAUGUUUCUCUUAGUGAAUUUUUGCAUCCACUGUUAUUUUUUUUAUCACAUGCGUCUUUGUCUUCAUUUUUCUAUUUGUUUUUUUCUUGAUUUCUGCAAAUUAUCGUUACAAUCUAUUCUUGGUCCAGCCAAUUUAUCAUAUGCAUACUGAAUCAUUACCCGAGGUAACAAAAUAAUAAUUAUUUUUAUUAUAUUUUUAUAAUGUUUAUUUUAUUUUAAAAUUAUAUUUAUAUGAGAUAUUUAAAUAUUCAGGGCAUGCGAUUAUUCACUGUGGUCGGCAUGGAGCUAGAGCUACUACAACUAGAAAUAAAGUCAAUUUGUUGAUUUGAUGCAGACAGUUUUAUUUUCGGACUAAAGUAAAUUUAUUGAAUUUGAAAAGGUUUUUUUUUUUAUAAUUUUUUUUGUUAUAGUUUUGUGUUUAGAUAGAUGAGAAAACAUAUUUACUAGCCGGUGUGGUGAAUGUCAACGGGAGAAGAAAAAACAAAGGCAAAAGCGUUAAAGCCUCCAAACAGCUACUAAAAAGAGAAUUAUCAGACUUAAAAACCAAAACCACAGGAAAUAGUAAUAUAUAUUUUUACUAUUAGGCUGGAGGGAGUAGCUUGUUGGCCAAGCUUGCCUCCAGCUCGCUAAGGACGCCAACUCCACUCCCUAAGAUGUUCUAAGCAACUUACCAGGAAAAAAGAGGGGAUUUUUUUGCACAUGUGUGAUUCAUGCGGCUGCUAUUUAUGGACCCGGAGAAGAAAGAUACAUCAGUCUUUCAAAGAAACCAACUUAUAUCAAAUGGGUCAUUAAUUGAUUUUAGAUUAAUCACAUUCUCCUUUUUAAGGCAAAUGUGUAAUGAUUAUGUAAUUGUGCAUAUGAAAGUACAUACCUGAGUUAGACAAAACAUAACAGUACAUUUCCAUUUUAGACAUCACCAACCCCUCUGCCCCAUGUGAAGCAUGGGUUUCUUUCUAGUUUCUAUUUAAUUUGCUAAAAGCCUAUUGCGAUUUCCUCGUAGGCAUUUAGAAAUUAAAUGGAAAAUAGCUUCAAGUCUUCAACAACGAAAUGUUUAAUGUUGUUGUUGUUGUUUUUUUUUUUUUUUUUUUAGUUUUAAUGUUUAAAGUGAGUCGAAUUCUGUGACGAGAUGUCUGGAGAGGCCGAUCUAUAGACGACAUUCUAAAAUGAUAGUGCGAAACUUUUAGUGACCACUAUUUGGAUAAAACCGAAUUGUUCGGUUGGACAAAAUGGAUUGGACUAUUUGUUUCAGAUAUUCUAAUUUUUGGAUUGGUUUUCAACAAAACCGA